Molecule: ribosomal RNA, 370 nt
Filed under: uncultured organism
Description: bacterial SSU rRNA
Rfam family: Bacterial small subunit ribosomal RNA
Source: RNAcentral
CGUAGGGUGCAAGCGUUAAUCGGAAUUACUGGGCGUAAAGCGUGCGCAGGCGGUUAUGCAAGACAGAGGUGAAAUCCCCGGGCUCAACCUGGGAACUGCCUUUGUGACUGCAUAGCUAGAGUACGGUAGAGGGGGAUGGAUUUCCGCGUGUAGCAGUGAAAUGCGUAGAUAUGCGGAGGAACACCGAUGGCGAAGGCAAUCCCCUGGACCUGUACUGACGCUCAUGCACGAAAGCGUGGGGAGCAAACAGGAUUAGAUACCCUGGUAGUCCACGCCCUAAACGAUGUCAACUGGUUGUUGGGAGGGUUUCUUCUCAGUAACGUAGCUAACGCGUGAAGUUGACCGCCUGGGGAGUACGGCCGCAAGGUUG